This 1235-nucleotide ribosomal RNA is filed under the name metagenome. RNAcentral describes it as "bacterial LSU rRNA". It matches the Rfam family "Bacterial large subunit ribosomal RNA", at positions 1564 to 2808 of the family's 2925-position model. The record is from RNAcentral.
UGAAUACGAGAUGCUACGGCGUCGAAGCAGUCUAUGUCAUACUUCCAAGAAAAGCUUGCACUGUCAUAAACAAAUAAUGCCUGUACCAUAACCGACACAGGUGGGUAGGUAGAGUAUACUAAGGGGCGCGAGAUAACUCUCUCUAAGGAACUCGGCAAAAUGACUCCGUAACUUCGGGAGAAGGAGUGCCUUAUUUUAUAAGGUUGCAAUAACAAGAUCCAAGCAACUGUUUACCAAAAACACAGGUCUCCGCUAAGUCGUAAGACGAUGUAUGGGGGCUGACGCCUGCCCAGUGCCAGAAGGUUAAAGAAGUUGGUUAGCAUCCGCGAAGCUGAUAACUGAAGCCCUGGUGAACGGCGGCCGUAACAAUAACGGUCCUAAGGUAGCGAAAUUCCUUGUCGGGUAAGUUCCGACCCGCACGAAAGGCGUAAUGAUUUGGAUACUGUCUCAGAGAGGGGCUCGGUGAAAUAGACUUGUCUGUGAAGAUGCGGACUACCUGCACCAGGACAGAAAGACCCUAUGAAGCUUUACUGUAACUUGAAAUUGAAAUUGGACUUUACUUGCGCAGUAUAGGUGGGAGGCGUUGAGAACAUUCUUGCGGGAAUGUUGGAGCCAUCAGUGAGAUACCACUCUUGUAAUGUUAGAUUUCUAACUUUGUAUCAUUAUCUGGUCAAAGGACAGUUUCAGGCGGGCAGUUUGACUGGGGCGGUCGCCUCCCAAACGGUAACGGAGGCGCACAAAGGUUUCCUCUGAACGGGUAGAAAUCGUAUCUAGAGUGUAAAGGCAUAAGGAAGCUUGACUGUGAGACCUACAAGUCGAGCAGGGACGAAAGUCGGUCUUAGUGAUCUGACGGUGCUGAGUGGAAAGGCCGUCACUCAACGGAUAAAAGUUACUCUAGGAUAACAGGCUGAUCUCCCCCAAGAGUUCACAUCGACGGGGAGGUUUGGCACCUCGAUGUCGGCUCAUCGCAUCCUGGGGCGGUAGUACGUCCCAAGGGUUGGGCUGUUCGCCCAUGAAAGCGGUACGCGAGCUGGGUUCAGAACGUCGUGAGACAGUUCGGUCCAUAUCCGGUGUAGGCGUUAGAAUAUUGAGAGGAGCCUUCUUUAGUACGAGAGGACCGAGAAGGACAUACCUCUGGUGUACCAGUUAUCGUGCCAACGGUAAACGCUGGGUAGCUAUGUAUGGAGUGGAUAACCGCUGAAAGCAUCUAAGUGGGAAGCCCACCUCAAGAUAAG